CGUCUAUAUACGUAUAGCAUAUCAAUAAGCGGAGGAAAAGAAACUAACAAGGAUUCCCUUAGUAACGGCGAGUGAAGCGGGAAGAGCUCAAAUUUGAAAUCUUCAAGGUUCUACCUUGACGAAUUGUAGUUUAUAGAAGUGUUUUCUGUUAGUAGAGUGGCAAAAGUUCUUUGGAAUAGGACGUCAUAGAGGGUGAGAAUCCCGUAUUUGGUCAUUCUUUCUAGCUUUGUGAUACACUUUCAAUGAGUCGGAUUGUUUGGGAAUGCAGUCCAAAAUGGGUGGUAAAUUUCAUCUAAAGCUAAAUAUUGGCGAGAGACCGAUAGCGAACAAGUACCGUGAGGGAAAGAUGAAAAGAACUUUGAAAAGAGAGUUAAACAGUACGUGAAAUUGUCAAAAGGGAAGCGUUUGACACCAGUGUUGUUUUCUCGAAAAUCAAUACAUGAUGGCUUGAUGCUAGGUUGUUAAGACUUUAUCAGCUUACUGUCUAGUUUUCUUGUCUUUGUGAAUGCACUUUUCGUUUAACAAGUCAACAUCAAUUUCUUUUGCUGUAAAAGGGUAAGAGGAAGGUGGCUUCAGCUUCGGGUGAAGUGUUUAUAGCCUUUUACCUCUGCAGUCGGAGAGAUUGAGGUCUGCAGCGUAGACUCCUUCGGGGCUAGAUACACUUGUGCUAAGUUAUAGCUUUUCAUAGGACAACUUGUUGACUAUGUUUAGUCUUGUAGCUUACUCGCUGACGUACUAUUUUACCUACGCUUAGGAUGUUGACACACGCGCGUGCUCG
This 778-nucleotide ribosomal RNA is filed under the name uncultured Neocallimastigales. Its description in RNAcentral is "partial large subunit ribosomal RNA". It matches the Rfam family "Eukaryotic large subunit ribosomal RNA", at positions 26 to 656 of the family's 3401-position model. Lineage: Eukaryota; Fungi; Neocallimastigomycota; Neocallimastigomycetes; Neocallimastigales. The record is from RNAcentral.